This 505-nucleotide ribosomal RNA is filed under the name uncultured bacterium. Its description in RNAcentral is "bacterial SSU rRNA". It matches the Rfam family "Bacterial small subunit ribosomal RNA", at positions 29 to 527 of the family's 1533-position model. The record is from RNAcentral.
AGCGAACGUUUGCGGCGGGCUUAACACAUGCAAGUCGAACGAGAAUCCCUUCGGGGAGGAAAGUGGCGCACGGGUGCGUAACACGUGGAUAACCAACCCAUUGGUUUGGGACAACACCGGGAAACUGGUGCUAAUACCAGAUGUGUCGCAGCUGUCUUCAGGCGGUUGCGAGAAAGGCCCGCAAGGGUCGCCAACGGACGGGUCCGCGUCCCAUCAGCUAGUUGGUGAGGUAAUGGCUCACCAAGGCAAAGACGGGUAGCUGGUCUGAGAGGAUGAUCAGCCACACUGGAACUGAGACACGGUCCAGACUCCUACGGGAGGCAGCAGUGGGGAAGUAUUGCGCAAUGGGCGAAAGCCUGACGCAGCCACGCCGCGUGAGCGAUGAAGGUCUUCGGAUCGUAAAGCUCUGUGGGGGGAGAAGAAGAAAGCCGGUGAAGAGCCGGCCCUGACGGUAUCCCCUUAGCAAGCACCGGCUAACUCCGUGCCAGCAGCCGCGGUAAAGUCG